RNAcentral lists this ribosomal RNA (466 nucleotides) under uncultured bacterium. RNAcentral's name for it is "partial 16S ribosomal RNA". It matches the Rfam family "Bacterial small subunit ribosomal RNA", at positions 28 to 507 of the family's 1533-position model. The record is from RNAcentral.
GACGAACGCUGGCGGCGUGCUUAACACAUGCAAGUCGAACGGAAAGGCCCUGCUUGCCGGGUACUCGAGUGGCGAACGGGUGAGUAACACGUGGGUGAUCUGCCCUGCACUUCGGGAUAAGCUUGGGAAACUGGGUCUAAUACCGGAUAGGAGCCAUCUUUAGUGUGGUGGUUGGAAAGUUUUUUCGGUGUAGGAUGAGCUCGCGGCCUAUCAGCUUGUUGGUGGGGUAAUGGCCUACCAAGGCGGCGACGGGUAGCCGGCCUGAGAGGGUGUACAGCCACAUUGGGACUGAGAUACGGCCCAGACUCCUACGGGAGGCAGCAGUGGGGAAUAUUGCACAAUGGGCGCAAGCCUGAUGCAGCGACGCCGCGUGGGGGAUGAAGGCCUUCGGGUUGUAAACUCCUUUCGCUAGGGACGAAGCUUUGUUGUGACGGUACCUAGAUAAGAAGCACCGGCUAACUACGUG